This 373-nucleotide ribosomal RNA is filed under the name uncultured organism. RNAcentral's name for it is "partial 16S ribosomal RNA". It matches the Rfam family "Bacterial small subunit ribosomal RNA", at positions 527 to 896 of the family's 1533-position model. The record is from RNAcentral.
GAGGGGUCCUAGCGUUGUUCGGAAUCAUUGGGCGUAAAGCGGGUGUAGGCGGCUAAGUAAGUCAGAUGUGAAAGCCCUGGGCUCAACCCAGGAAGUGCAUUUGAUACUGCUUAGCUUGAGUGUGGGAGAGGAUAGUGGAAUUCCAGGUGUAGUGGUGAAAUACGUAGAUAUCUGGAGGAACAUCGGUGGCGAAGGCGGCUAUCUGGCCCAACACUGACGCUCAGACCCGAAAGCGUGGGGGAGCAAACAGGAUUAGAUACCCUGGUAGUCCACGCUGUAAACCGAUGGACACUUGGUGUUGGAGGUAUUGACCCCUUCAGUGCCGGAGCUAACGCGUUAAGUGUCCCCGCCUGGGACUACGGCCGCAAGGUUA